GGCCCCUUGUGUAUUUUUUUGAAGAUAGGGGGUCUGGCCUGCCCGGUGACGUAGAGUUAAACGGCCGCGGUAUCCUGACCGUGCAAAGGUAGCAUAAUAAUUUGCCUAUUAAUUGUGGGCUUGUAUGAAUGGUUUGACGAGGGUGGGACUGUCUCUUAGUGGGGUAUGUGGAAUUUAAUUUUUAGGUGAAGAGGCCUAAAUAUGAUUAAGGGACGAUAAGACCCUGUCGAGCUUUAGUUAAGUUUUGAGGUAUAUUGAAGUAGAUUUAUAUUUUAUUUCUAUUGAAAUGAAUCUUUGGUUGGGGCGAUCGGAAAGUAAGGGAAACCUUUCAUUAAGUUGUAGGUCUAUAGAUUAAGGAUCUGGUGUAUGUGUACAGAUAAAAAGAGUAAGUUACCGCAGGGAUAACAGCGUAAUCUUUUUGGAGAGUUCUUAUUGAGAAAAGGGUUUGCGACCUCGAUGUUGGACUAAGGUAACCUAAUGGUGUAGCAGCUAUUGAGGGUUGGUCUGUUCGACCAUUAAAACCUUACA
Molecule: ribosomal RNA, 528 nt
Filed under: Fissurella sp. SWA-2011
Lineage: Eukaryota; Metazoa; Mollusca; Gastropoda; Lepetellida; Fissurellidae
Description: partial 16S ribosomal RNA
Rfam family: Bacterial large subunit ribosomal RNA
Source: RNAcentral